Molecule: ribosomal RNA, 306 nt
Filed under: uncultured bacterium
Lineage: Bacteria
Description: partial 16S ribosomal RNA
Rfam family: Bacterial small subunit ribosomal RNA
Source: RNAcentral
GACAGCAGCCGCCACGGUAAUACGUAGGUGGCAAGCGUUGUCCGGAAUUAUUGGGCGUAAAGCGCGCGCAGGUGGUUUAAUAAGUCUGAUGUGAAAGCCCCCGGCUCAACCGGGGAGGGUCAUUGGAAACUGGGAAACUUGAGUGCAGAAGAGGAGAGUGGAAUUCCACGUGUAGCGGUGAAAUGCGUAGAGAUGUGGAGGAACACCAGUGGCGAAGGCGACUCUCUGGUCUGUAACUGACGCUAAGGAGCGAAAGCGUGGGGAGCGAACAGGAUUAGAUACCCCCGUAGUCCCUGUCUCUUAUAC